This 2306-nucleotide long non-coding RNA is filed under the name Trifolium pratense (red clover). RNAcentral describes it as "long non-coding RNA (TPRA_LNC004341)". The record is from RNAcentral. Lineage: Eukaryota; Viridiplantae; Streptophyta; Magnoliopsida; Fabales; Fabaceae.
GCGACCCUCUCCCUCAACACGGACAAAACCGAACCCUAAACGCCUCUCCGUCGCGAACUUCUCCCUCUUUGCAACAAAGCCCUAAACGCCUCUCCACGAAUCCCCUCUCUCCGAUGCCUCUCGGCGAACCUUCCUUCCUCUGCGACGAAAUCCUUUCUACUACCACCGGUGACUUUGUUCUUCCGCCUCGUUGUUCAGAGUUUUCAAGGUUAAAUCGGUUUUCCUUUCGAUUCUAGUCUUCUCAUUCUUCAAUAGAUUCUGAUUCUAAUUUUCCUUUUGUUUUGCUUCAUUUUGCUUUCAGAGUUUUCAAGGGUUUUUCAACAGUUCUCUUCGUUGUUUCCGCCAUCAUUACGUUCAAGUCUUAAUCAAUAUGUAUCCCUAUUUCUUCAGUAAGUAGAUCCGAACUAUGUUUAUCUCAAUCUUAAUUUUCUAUGAUGUGUGAUACUGUGGUUUCUAAGCUUCGAUUUGGAAUCUGGUAGUUCUGUCCCGAAUUUGCGAUUAGACAAUUUUUUCCCACGUUCUUAAUGCUUGUAGAUUUCUCCACACAUUUAGUUAUCAGUAACUUAUUUAACACCAGUGAUAAUUUAUUCUAGUUAAAUAUAUGAAAUAAGGUAUAAAGAGGUGCUUUUGGUAAAGGUACUUUAAUCUACUGUUCAAUAUCCGCUAAUUUUUGUCAAAUAGAGUCAUACUCUCGUGGAAAUUUGUCUUUGAAAUAACCGAAAUCCCUAAUUUUAUCUUUACCAUUCUGAUUGUAGGAAACUCUCCAGUGUAUGUACAUGUUUUGGAUAUAGAGAUUGGGAACAUGUAGGAAAGCAUUCUAAAUCUGAAUUACCACUUUUGAUGGUUAUGUAAGUUUAUAAUAUAUUUUUGUUGGAUUGCAUACUCUUUAUUUGAUAGNNNNNNNNNNNNNCAUGUACUGAUUGCUUGUAGAAUUUUUGCUUGUGCUUUUUCUCUUCUAAUUUGGUAGUUUAGAAGCAGUGAUGAUUCUUAUGGACGAUUGUACUUUUUAGCAAUAUUGUGAUCAGAAUUUUGUAUUCUAUGUAGGUUAUACAUUUUAUGGAUAUGGUUAUACUUGAAGAACCAAUAGAGGGGUAUCAUUAGUUGAAGCUUGUUUGGAAUCUUCAUUUUUAGUUCUCUUCAUUGACCAACUUAUUAAAAUGAUAUACUAUUCUCAAGUUCUAUCAAUAGACAGACAUUGAUUAUUAUCAUAACUUUCAGGAUAUAUUACAAACUCAAUGGCACUAAGGAUUGGUUGCUUUAAUCAAAGGAAUUUUCUAUUUGUCAUGCGAGAAGUUAAAGUUUGAAAUAAUAUGGUUGGUCUCUUGAACCCUUAAGUUAGCAUGUGAAAAAUUUAAAUUGAACGUGAUGUAUUGUCAGACACUAUUUAUUGUGAGUAUAUAAGUUUUGUUUGUCUUUAGCUUUAGAGCAUACCCUUUUGUUUGUCUUUAGUUAGCAUUUGGUAGAAUUAGAAAAUGUGUCUAAUGCUUAGUAUAUAUCAUAAGUAAAACCGAUACUAUUCUUUGGCACUGAUCUAUUGAUUUGUUCUUUUCUAUUGUGAUUCUUUCUUAUCUUGUAGACAUUUCCUGUUAUGUUUUUAUGGAAUAAUUGGCAAUUGGCAUGACUUAGUUUUUGCAAGGAGUUGAAAAAUUUAAGAGUUAAAGGUAAUAUCUAUAUCUUAUAUAAAGAUCUUUCUUGAUUGAAUCUUCCUGUAUAUUAAGACUUUAGAAGUUUCACCACGGAGGUGAUGGUGAUGAGUUUGUCAGAAUAUUAUUUCAUCAUUUGAAAAGAUUGUGCAGUAUAGAGAGGCUAGAUAGAACACUAGUAAGGUUUAUGAUGCCAUCAUCAACCGAAAAGUAUGUAGAUUGGAAUAAAGACUCAUUUUUUAAAUUAAUUAUAUCUUUAUAGGUGAAAAAAAGAUCAUAUCUAACUCUUAAAUGCCACCAUCUUUGUUUCAUUGUAGAGAGGGCUGAUGUUUAAGUUUCAAUUUCCCAUCUUGGUUGAUUGCUAGUUAACUAUGUGUUGGUAAUCAUUAUCAUAGUAUUUUAAAGAGAUUUAUUCAAUUAUCAUACUUGAGUACCGCUGCUAGUUGUCUUACAGCAAUAGGUUGGAUAUUAUAUAUAGGGAGCUUUUGUAACAUUACUCUUGUGCUUCCAGAGACUGGUUUAUGAAUGACUUUUGGGGAUUUGAGAUUUUGAUUUAUGCAGAAAUUUUGGGACUGUUUUAUUCAUGUAUUAAUUAAGCUUGUUUUGUUGUCUGUUUUAGAUCAUCAAACACUGCUACAAAUGUCAUUCAGACACCUUCACAAG